Non-coding RNA from Oreochromis niloticus (Nile tilapia), 504 nucleotides. The record is from the annotation of a RefSeq genome assembly. NCBI's taxonomy places the organism in Eukaryota, Metazoa, Chordata, Actinopteri, Cichliformes, Cichlidae.
UCUCUGACAGUGAGAUUUAUCAUAAUGAUGAUGAUGUUGCUGACUCCACUGCUGAUCACAAUCGUGCUCAGACUUCAAGGAUCAGAUGCCAGUUCAUCUGUGACUCAGUCUCCUGUGUUUAAAGCUGCUGCUUUGGGGGAGAGGGUCUCUCUGAGCUGUACAGCCAGUAAAGGAGUUGAUGAUGAUCUCAGCUGGUAUCUACAGAAACCUGGUCAGCCUCUUAAACUGCUGUUUUACAAAAUCAGCAGUCGUGAAUCUUGUACUCCGAGUCAUUUCAGCAGCAGUGGAUCUGAGCCUGAGUUCACUCUGACAAUCAAUGGAGUUCAGGCUGCAGAUGCAGGAGAUUACUACUGUAUGGGAGCAUAUAGAGGCCCAGAGUUCACACAGUGAUACAGAGUCAUACAAAAAACCUCCCUCAGUUACUAUUUGCAGUGUUGCAGCUGUGAGCUUCUGAUACGGACUCUGACAUGCAUCACUGGUUCACUGAGUCCACUUUCAGAGGUG